Roridomyces roridus is the source of this 98-nucleotide non-coding RNA. The record is from the annotation of a GenBank genome assembly. NCBI's taxonomy places the organism in Eukaryota, Fungi, Basidiomycota, Agaricomycetes, Agaricales, Mycenaceae.
GCUUUGGUGGGGUAGUGGUAACCUGGGUCGUUGCCAUGAUUAAGGUUGUUCUAGUUCACUUAAUCGACCCGCCGGGGGUUCGAUUCCCUCCCAAAGCA